AAAUUGAAGAGUUUGAUCAUGGCUCAGAUUGAACGCUGGCGGCAGGCCUAACACAUGCAAGUCGAACGGUAACAGGAAGCAGCUUGCUGCUUUGCUGACGAGUGGCGGACGGGUGAGUAAUGUCUGGGAAACUGCCUGAUGGAGGGGGAUAACUACUGGAAACGGUGGCUAAUACCGCAUAAUGUCGCAAG
RNAcentral lists this ribosomal RNA (191 nucleotides) under Salmonella enterica. Its description in RNAcentral is "partial 16S ribosomal RNA". It matches the Rfam family "Bacterial small subunit ribosomal RNA", at positions 1 to 185 of the family's 1533-position model. The record is from RNAcentral. Lineage: Bacteria; Pseudomonadati; Pseudomonadota; Gammaproteobacteria; Enterobacterales; Enterobacteriaceae. RNAcentral also lists the same sequence under 2 other names.